Molecule: ribosomal RNA, 241 nt
Filed under: uncultured Actinomycetales bacterium
Lineage: Bacteria; Bacillati; Actinomycetota; Actinomycetes; Actinomycetales
Description: partial 16S ribosomal RNA
Rfam family: Bacterial small subunit ribosomal RNA
Source: RNAcentral
AUUAGUGGCGAACGGGUGAGUAACACGUGAGUAACCUGCCCUUCACUUUGGGAUAACUCCGAGAAAUCGGGGCUAAUACCUGAUAUGACUACUGGCCGCAUUGUUGGUGGUGGAAAGUUUUUCGGUGAGGGAUGGGCUCGCGGCCUAUCAGUUUGUUGGUGAGGUAGUGGCUUACCAAGGCGAUGACGGGUAGCCGGCCUGAGAGGGCGACCGGCCACACUGGGACUGAGACACGGCCCAG